UACAGAGGUCUCAAGCGUUGUUCGGAUUCAUUGGGCGUAAAGGGUGCGUAGGCGGCGAGGUAAGUCGGAUGUGAAAUCCCGGGGCUCAGCCCCGGAACUGCAUUCGAUACUGCUUUGCUUGAGUACUGGAGAGGAGACUGGAAUUUACGGUGUAGCAGUGAAAUGCGUAGAUAUCGUAAGGAAGACCAGUGGCGAAGGCGAGUCUCUGGACAGUUACUGACGCUGAGGCACGAAGGCCAGGGGAGCAAACGGG
RNAcentral lists this ribosomal RNA (253 nucleotides) under uncultured bacterium. RNAcentral's name for it is "partial 16S ribosomal RNA". It matches the Rfam family "Bacterial small subunit ribosomal RNA", at positions 524 to 776 of the family's 1533-position model. The record is from RNAcentral.